UUAUAAAAAACAAUUGAUUGGCUUGUCUAUCAUAUAGCAAGCUCAUGGCAUUAACUAUUACUCAUUUGCAUUCAAGAAUCAUUCUAUAAUAUAUCCAAGAAAAACACAAAUAUGCAUACCUAUAUUGGUUUGGCCUGUAAAACUGCUCUGCAGUGUUCUGAUGUGAAGUGAGUUUCGGCUAUUUGAUGAACAAUCAGCUAGCUCUCACUUUUUUUGUUGAUUAUUGUAGGAGGUUUUUAACUGAAUGUAAGAAAGGUUUCAUCGUGUAUGGUAGUGUAGGAAGUAAACCUUCAAUUCUGGUUUAUUUUAUCACCAGAAAGCAUUUUUUGGCCUUUGCUGUUUUUAUUUUAUUUUAAUUCAUCACAACAAAUGUUCUACUUGAGGAAAGAAUCCAGAAUGUCCAGUUAUCGAGUUUCAUAUUCAUCAUUUUUACUGCAGUGAUUAGUUUUCUAUAAUCCAGAAUGCGACUGAAUGGUUGGCUUUCUAUGACUGAAAAGAACUUAAAUUUUGGUGGUAAUCAUACUAGUUUUGUAGAACUCUGGAUUAUUUCUCUAGGUUGAUUUAAGUUUCAGGUUUACACCAAUUUAAGUUCUACUAUGGAUGGAGGCUGGCAUUUGACCUUUUUGAGGACCUGACUUCAUUAGGACUGCAUUUGUAAGGUCACCGGAAGCACCGAAGCAAGCUUUUAUGCAAUCCUUCUUAAAUAGGCGGGGAUUCCCUCUCUGGUGGGGUUCAAGGCUGAAUAUUUCAAAAGAUAUUUAUGCAGCAUCUACUUAGCUCACCGUUAGCUGAAUUUGGCCAAGAGAUCCAACACAGUAACAUUCUGAUUACAGGUACACGGAAAAUAUACCUUAGCAUCACUCCAUUUUCAAUUAGAUAGCUCCAGUCUUUCUCAUCUCUAUAUGUUUCAUAAAUAUCAUUUCAAUCAGUUUUUCUUAUACUGUUACUUGCACAAAUACGUAUGCAUCACGUGUAUUUUUCGUGAACCUGUAAUCAAAGUGUUACUGUGUUGGAUCUCUUGAAGAUAUGCAGGUAACGAUGAGCUACCAAUAUGCAGCUUGUUAUUUAUACAGAAGUUCAAAUUGGUGGCUGUGUUAUAGCGGUGUGAUGUAGCUUGUGAAAAUAUAUCUGUUUUAUAAA
Long non-coding RNA from Dendrobium catenatum, 1140 nucleotides. RefSeq lists it as uncharacterized. The transcript is spliced from 2 exons. The record is from RefSeq and is a predicted model, not a curated record. NCBI's taxonomy places the organism in Eukaryota, Viridiplantae, Streptophyta, Magnoliopsida, Asparagales, Orchidaceae.